GCUGCUGCAACAAAUUUUGAUCUUCUUUUUAUUUAGGAACUUUUUGUAUAAAAUUUACAAGCGCGUUUAUACAUAUUGAAAUUCUUUGCUUUAUAUUUACUAUUCAUAAAAAUGUUAGUACUAGCAGUACAGUAACGAUGCGAAAGAACUAUUUUGACGUAAAGCUUUAGAAAAGUAAAACAUCUGUGUAAUUUUAUAUAUCAAUUACAAUUACGAGAUUCUAGUCAUUAAGAUUCAUUAUCAAUAUCUGUGUGAUUCAGAAGGGCACAUGUUGUGACUCAAAUUCCUUUCCAUCUUAAUUAUAGAUGUCAAUGCCCUUCGUACGUGACCGAUGCGUUAACGGAAGAGGUUAAAAGUAAUAUAUACCGAAUUAAGCUUAACUCUGGUCCAUCGAGCGACAGCCGUUUGUUGCCCAACACAGCUGGUCAGUGUUCUAAGGAGCGAACCUGUCCACCCUUUACCGAAGACCGAUAGGGUUAAGCCCUAAAUCUGGAUCAAAUUGCAUCAGCUGUUGCCGAAUGUCAAGGGGAUUUUAUUUCACAGAUUUUUCAAAUAAUCUGAUAACAUCAGUCACUUAAACAUCGCGCUCGGAACUUAGCCGGCGGCCAUUAAGCUCACGCAUCUUCAAGCUGAAUAAUCGAGUUGGACAAGUUCUAUUAGUCCACGAGCCGGCGUGGAACAAUGGAAUGUUUUCCGUUUUCGCCACUCAUUCAUCAAUUUAGCACCUUAACGGAAGGACAGAGCGUGCGCUGCCGCUGAUUUUCUCCUAGCCAGGCCGGCGAACGUCUCUAUACAUCAGUGAUCAUUAGUGCUGCAUCCAAGUUUUUCUUGGAUCUUUUAAAAUUAUAUUUUUAUAGAACAUGAAAUCUUCAUGACAAUGGAAUUAUGCGUUUCUUGCGUUGUUUGGGGUUUGUAUAUUACUAUCUCAUAAGAAUGUGGACACAGAAUGGUGUAGAUAGAGACAUAAAAGUAACAGACUAGCUGACAACCUUAUCCUAAACAUUGUAGUUCACAUACUUUUUGAAUCAAUAGAAGAAGAUGAUAUAUUCAUAGAAAAUACGUCAAUUGUAGUAUCUCUUAUUUUUGUAGACAGUUUGGAUACUUUUUGAUAGUUUCCUCUACUCGUUGUACAACAGAGAAGAGGUUAAUUCUUUGUGAAAUUAUAAAGCUUCGUUUUCGUUGUA
Molecule: long non-coding RNA, 1184 nt
Organism: Bombus terrestris (buff-tailed bumblebee)
Lineage: Eukaryota; Metazoa; Arthropoda; Insecta; Hymenoptera; Apidae
Exons: 2
Source: RefSeq, a predicted model, not a curated record